Long non-coding RNA from Neogale vison (American mink), 1362 nucleotides. RefSeq lists it as uncharacterized. Lineage: Eukaryota; Metazoa; Chordata; Mammalia; Carnivora; Mustelidae. The transcript is spliced from 4 exons. The record is from RefSeq and is a predicted model, not a curated record.
GGGAGCCCACAGGUGGCUGUGUUGCUUCCGGGAUCUCCUGACGCCGACUCUGGUGUCCCCGGCGAAUGGCUCUGCUGGGAAGGAUUCAGACCAAAGGGAUUCAGUGGCCUUUGAGGAAAUGGUGGUGGACUUCUCCCAGGAGGUGUGGGCACCCCUGGAGCCUGCUAAGAAAAUUCUGUACAGAGACGUGAUGCUAGAGAACUACAGGAACCUGGCCUCUGCCACGCUCAUCUCUUCAUUGAUUCAAAGUUUCAACUGAAUACCCAAAAGACCACUGCAAAGCAGAAAAAAGUUUGGAAAAAACAUCCACUGUCAGGAAUAUGGCACUAAAUCCAGCUGGAGAGAAAUCCCAUGAAUACAUCUGUGUGGAAGAGCCAUCAGAAGGAAUUCUAACCUUGUUUGGCCAAAGAGAAGUUACACAGGAGAGAAAUGAAAUGAAUGUAAAGAAUGUGGGAGAGUGUUUAGUUGUCUUUCAUCCCUUCAGACCCACGUGUGCUCUCACGCUGGCAAGAAACCCUGUGCGUAGGAAAGCUUCUGGUCAUCAUCCGUCCUUUAUGACACACAUGCGAAUCCACACCGGAGAGAAAUCCUAUGAGUUUAACCAGCAUAGGAGAGGAUACACAAUUGGGAGAAGCUGUAUAAAUGCAAGGAUUGUGGAAAGACUUCAUCAGGAGCAGGAACCUGACCGUGCAUAAGAGAGUGCACACCAGGGAGGGACUCUGUGUGUGAUGACUGUCGCAAAGCCUUAAGCAGGAAAUUCCAUCUGAUGGCACACAUGAGAACCCAUAACAGGGAGAAGCUUUACCAUUGCAGUAACCAUGGAAAAGCCUUCAAUAGGAUCCUUAACCUGACUGAUGACAAGAGGGUACAUACGAGGAAGAUUGACCAGUGCAGCUACUGUAGUAACUUGAGUAGUCACCCACCCCGGAGGAAACAUGUGAGUACUCACGGUGGAGAGAAGCCCUGGGAUUGGAAGCACAUGGGAAAGCCCCGUCGGUCUCACAUGUGAGCAACUCUGUGCAUAUCAUUCGUCUGAGAAAGCCUUCCACGGGGACUUCAGUUCCUGCACAAAGAAAUACAGAGUGGCAGAGAAACCUUACGAGUGUUAUAAAUAUAGAAUUGCUUUCAGCAGGGUCUUCUCCUCAAAAUGGAAAUCUAAUUCCUUAGUAUUCAGAUCAUGUUUGUGAAUAAAAUCACCCAUAGAGAUCCCCUGCACAUCCCUUUAGCUACAUUACAUGGGUUUCGACCUAAGGUAUUUUUUAUUUUGGUUUAAUUCGAAAUACUGUUUCUGUUCGAUGUAUUUUAACUCAACAAUGUCACUUUCUUUUGAGCCUAUCAAAAUACAACUUCAUUUAAAUUUCA